UCUGAGAUCCAGAGGUAUGUUUCUACAACAGCUGCUCUCCUUGGCACUGCCUGUGCCCUUCUGUCUGCCUGUGCCCAACAGCUGGCCCUGGGACUAGCAGGACAGGUACAAUGAGCACAAAGCAGUACCAUCGUUCAGCUCACCAUUGCUCGGCAUUUUGAUUUUUCCUUCCAGUCAUCUGCUUCAGCUGCAAAGCCCUUUCUGAUUCCUAUGAGGCCUUCCUGGAUGUCCCCUUGGAUAUCAAAGCAGCCUCAUCCCUCCCUGCAGCUCUGGAGGACUUUGUAACACCUGAGCACCUGGAUGGUGAAAACUGCUUUCAAUGUAGCAAGUGUGAGAAGAAUGUUGCCGCCACUAAGAGGUUCACUGUCCACUGUGCACCCAAGGUUCUCACUGUGUGUCUGAAGAGGUUUGACUGCUUCACUGCUGGGAAGAUCAGCAAGG
Pipra filicauda (Wire-tailed manakin) is the source of this 441-nucleotide long non-coding RNA. RefSeq lists it as uncharacterized. NCBI's taxonomy places the organism in Eukaryota, Metazoa, Chordata, Aves, Passeriformes, Pipridae. The record is from RefSeq and is a predicted model, not a curated record. The transcript is spliced from 3 exons.